This 253-nucleotide ribosomal RNA is filed under the name uncultured bacterium. RNAcentral's name for it is "partial 16S ribosomal RNA". It matches the Rfam family "Bacterial small subunit ribosomal RNA", at positions 524 to 776 of the family's 1533-position model. The record is from RNAcentral.
GACAGAGGGGGCAAGCGUUGCUCGGAAUUACUGGGCGUAAAGAGUGCGUAGGUGGUGCCCUAAGUCUGUUGUGAAAUCUCCCGGCUUAACUGGGAGGGUGCGGUGGAAACUGGGGUGCUUGAGUGUGGGAGAGGUAAGCGGAAUUCCUGGUGUAGCGGUGAAAUGCGUAGAUAUCAGGAGGAACACCGGUGGUGUAGACGGCUUACUGGACCACGACUGACACUGAGGCACGAAAGCGUGGGUAGCAAACAGG